This 245-nucleotide ribosomal RNA is filed under the name uncultured bacterium. Its description in RNAcentral is "partial small subunit ribosomal RNA". It matches the Rfam family "Bacterial small subunit ribosomal RNA", at positions 26 to 285 of the family's 1533-position model. The record is from RNAcentral.
AGAACGAACGCUGGCGGCGUGCCUAACACAUGCAAGUCGAACGAGAAAGUGGAGCAAUCCAUGAGUAAAGUGGCGCACGGGUGAGUAACACGUGACUAACCUACCCUUGAGUGGGGGAUAACCUAGAGAAUCUGGGCUAAUACCGCAUAAUACCUUCGGGUCAAAGGAGCAAUUCGCUUAAGGAGGGGGUCGCGGCCCGAUUAGUUAGUUGGCGGGGUAAUGGCCCACCAAGACUAUGAUCGGUA